This 616-nucleotide ribosomal RNA is filed under the name uncultured Actinomycetales bacterium. RNAcentral describes it as "bacterial SSU rRNA". It matches the Rfam family "Bacterial small subunit ribosomal RNA", at positions 65 to 696 of the family's 1533-position model. The record is from RNAcentral. Lineage: Bacteria; Bacillati; Actinomycetota; Actinomycetes; Actinomycetales.
AACGGAAAGGCCCUGCUUGCAGGGUACUCGAGUGGCGAACGGGUGAGUAACACGUGGGUGAUCUGCCCUGCACUUCGGGAUAAGCUUGGGAAACUGGGUCUAAUACCGGAUAGGAACCAUCUUUAGUGUGGUGGUUGGAAAGUUUUUUCGGUGUAGGAUGAGCUCGCGGCCUAUCAGCUUGUUGGUGGGGUAAUGGCCUACCAAGGCGGCGACGGGUAGCCGGCCUGAGAGGGUGUACGGCCACAUUGGGACUGAGAUACGGCCCAGACUCCUACGGGAGGCAGCAGUGGGGAAUAUUGCACAAUGGGCGCAAGCCUGAUGCAGCGACGCCGCGUGGGGGAUGAAGGCCUUCGGGUUGUAAACUCCUUUCGCUAGGGACGAAGCUUUUUGUGACGGUACCUAGAUAAGAAGCACCGGCUAACUACGUGCCAGCAGCCGCGGUAAUACGUAGGGUGCGAGCGUUGUCCGGAAUUACUGGGCGUAAAGGGCUCGUAGGUGGUUUGUCGCGUCGUCUGUGAAAUUCUGGGGCUUAACUCCGGGCGUGCAGGCGAUACGUGCAUAACUUGAGUGCUGUAAGGUAACUGGAAUUCUGGUGUUGCGGUGAAAUGCGCAGAUA